UACAGAGGAUGCAAACGUUGCUCGGAAUUACUGGGCGUAAAGCGCGCGCAGGUGGUCUCGUAAGUCGGGCGUGAAAUCCCGGGGCUCAACCUCGGAAGUGCGCUCGAUACUGCAAGACUUGAGUACUGGAGAGGAUCGCGGAAUUCCCGGUGUAGAGGUGAAAUUCGUAGAUAUCGGGAGGAACACCAGUGGCGAAGGCGGCGAUCUGGACAGAUACUGACACUGAGGCGCGAAAGCGUGGGAAGCAAACAGGAUUAGAUACCCUGGUAGUCCACGCUGUAAACGAUGACGACUGGGUGUUUCGGGUAUUGACCCCCGAGGUGCCGAAGCCAACGCGUUAAGUCGUCCGCCUGGGAAGUACGGCCGCAAGGCUA
Molecule: ribosomal RNA, 374 nt
Filed under: uncultured prokaryote
Description: bacterial SSU rRNA
Rfam family: Bacterial small subunit ribosomal RNA
Source: RNAcentral